This 465-nucleotide ribosomal RNA is filed under the name uncultured bacterium. RNAcentral describes it as "partial 16S ribosomal RNA". It matches the Rfam family "Bacterial small subunit ribosomal RNA", at positions 338 to 795 of the family's 1533-position model. The record is from RNAcentral.
CCUACGGGGGGCAGCAGUGGGGAAUAUUGCGCAAUGGGCGAAAGCCUGACGCAGCGACGCCGCGUGAGGGAUGAAGGUCUUCGGAUCGUAAACCUCUGUCAGCAGGGAAGUACGGUCACUGUGCUAAUCAGCAGUGAAUUGACGGUACCUGCAAAGGAAGCACCGGCGAACUCCGUGCCAGCAGCCGCGGUAAUACGGAGGGUGCGAGCGUUAAUCGGAAUUACUGGGCGGAAAGCGCUCGUAGGCGGUAUGUCAAGUCAAGGGUGAAAUCCCCGCGCUCAACGAGAGAACUGCCUUUGAAACUGGCAGACUGGAGUGUGUGAGAGGAUGGUGGAAUGCCAGGUGUAGGAGUGAAAUCCGUAGAUAUCUGGAGGAACAUCAGUGGCGAAGGCGACUAUCUAACACAUAACUGACACUGAAGAGCGAAAGCGUGGGUAGCAAACAGGAUUAGAUACCCGAGUAGUC